Molecule: ribosomal RNA, 253 nt
Filed under: uncultured bacterium
Lineage: Bacteria
Description: partial 16S ribosomal RNA
Rfam family: Bacterial small subunit ribosomal RNA
Source: RNAcentral
UACGUAGGUGGCAAGCGUUAUCCGGAAUUAUUGGGCGUAAAGCGCGCGCAGGCGGUUUCUUAAGUCUGAUGUGAAAGCCCACGGCUCAACCGUGGAGGGUCAUUGGAAACUGGGGAACUUGAGUGCAGAAGAGAAAAGCGGAAUUCCACGUGUAGCGGUGAAAUGCGUAGAGAUGUGGAGGAACACCAGUGGCGAAGGCGGGUUGCUGGGCUGAUACUGACGCUGAUGCGCGAAAGCCAGGGGAGCGAACGGG